Zalophus californianus (California sea lion) is the source of this 203-nucleotide long non-coding RNA. RefSeq lists it as uncharacterized. The record is from RefSeq and is a predicted model, not a curated record. The transcript has 3 exons. NCBI's taxonomy places the organism in Eukaryota, Metazoa, Chordata, Mammalia, Carnivora, Otariidae.
AGAGUUCUCAAACCAGGAGAAACAGAUGAGAAUCCAGAAAUGUUACAGAUGCAGGUGAUGGGAGCUUCAGGCUGUGCCCACCUCCACCCUGACAUUGGCAGUUCUAUUAUCUGCUUCAUUACUCAGGAGAAAGGCUCUGAUACGAAUGUGGAACCUGUGACUCCUGGCAGUGCUGUUAUGUGCAGACCAGUGUCUGGAAAUGG